UUUGUUUCUUUCCUGAACAUCUGGUCCAACUCUUGUUGUAUCAAAGAUUAUCCAAACUUUAAUCUGCCGUCGAACUUUUCAAUUUCGAAUUGAUCUCACUUGUGGAUCGAAAACCACAAGCUCAAUAUAUAACCCAUUCUGAUACAAACUCUUGUUGUAUCAAAGAUUAUCCAAACUUUAAUCUGCCGUCGAACUUUUCAAUUUCGAAUUGAUCUCGCUUGUGGAUCGAAAACCACAAGCUCAAUAUAUAACCCAUUCUGAUACCGAUGGUUGUAAAUCUGAUAUUU
RNAcentral lists this long non-coding RNA (287 nucleotides) under Ananas comosus (pineapple). RNAcentral's name for it is "long non-coding RNA (ACOM_LNC004259)". The record is from RNAcentral. Lineage: Eukaryota; Viridiplantae; Streptophyta; Magnoliopsida; Poales; Bromeliaceae.